AUGAUGGCUACAGCCCAGUCCCUUUGUCUGGAGCUGUGGUGGUGCCACAUUGCUGUGACCCCAUUGCACCAGUCAGCACUGCAGGAUCCACUUCCCCAGGGCUGGAUCCUGAUCCCUCUGCCAUAUCAGCCAGGUGAGGAGAAGGACAGACCCCUGCCACCACCAAGGACAGCCCAAAUCUCUCCUGUGCCUCGUCCAAAAAGGCUGCCUGAGGACCCACUGGAAAGUCUAUGGACCUUUUUCCACAGAAAAUUUGUGUAUUGUCAAUACAUAAGUGUAUUGUCCACAGUUACACCAUGGCAGCUGCAGAGGAAAUGGAAGGUUCUCAGGAAUACAUUAGGGAGAGCUGGAUUUUUGGCUUCUGAAAGAGUGUGGAGAGCUUUUGGAAACUGUGGAAGUUUUUAA
Molecule: long non-coding RNA, 405 nt
Filed under: Cyanistes caeruleus (blue tit)
Lineage: Eukaryota; Metazoa; Chordata; Aves; Passeriformes; Paridae
Description: lncRNA (ENSCCEG00000012852.1)
Source: RNAcentral